UCUUCGGAUGGAGUUUUUGCCAUGGCCCCACCGGGGAAGCAGAAAGGCAACACUAGCAGGGAAUGGAAUGGAAGGCGCUGUGGCCCUCGAUGGACACAGGAUCCACCGUGACACGAGACGCUGUGCAGCAGUAGAAGAUGCUAAACUGGGACAGCGACAAAGUCCUCAAGAAGUGGAAGCUCAGACAAGAAAUGGAGGUUUAGAACUUAGAUUGUGGGUUUGGGGAGGGAGGAAGCAGGGAGAAGUUAAGGAAAUAAGAGGGGUGCGCAGGCGGGGCAGACAGCGUAGGAAGAAAAGUAGAGCACACUCAGCUUUUAAGAAGUUCGUCUUCAAAGACUCACGGAUGGUGGUGGUGUUCAGUUGCUAAGUUGUGUCCGAUUCCUUGCAACUCCAUGGACUGCAGCACACCAGGCUUCCAGG
Molecule: long non-coding RNA, 420 nt
Organism: Bos taurus (domestic cattle)
Lineage: Eukaryota; Metazoa; Chordata; Mammalia; Artiodactyla; Bovidae
Source: Ensembl